UCCUGGCUGGCUCAGUUAGUAGAGCAUGUGACUCUUGGUCUUAGAGCCAUGAGUUAAAGCCUCAUGUUGGGUA
RNAcentral lists this transfer RNA (73 nucleotides) under Ailuropoda melanoleuca (giant panda). It matches the Rfam family "tRNA". Rfam says of the family: Transfer RNA (tRNA) molecules are approximately 80 nucleotides in length. Their secondary structure includes four short double-helical elements and three loops (D, anti-codon, and T loops). Lineage: Eukaryota; Metazoa; Chordata; Mammalia; Carnivora; Ursidae. The record is from Rfam by way of RNAcentral.